CAUCGUCCAGGGCACAACCGGGGAAACCCGGUGCCGCAAAGCCUCGGGGCUAAAGAGAAGACGGACGGCGGACCCCCUCCAAGCCAGCCGGGCUGCCGAG
Molecule: non-coding RNA, 100 nt
Filed under: Elusimicrobiota bacterium
Lineage: Bacteria; Pseudomonadati; Elusimicrobiota
Description: Elusimicrobia bacterium c-di-GMP sequence
Rfam family: c-di-GMP-I riboswitch aptamer
About the family: GEMM was predicted in a large-scale screen for bacterial structured RNA regulatory elements.
Source: RNAcentral